RNAcentral lists this ribosomal RNA (510 nucleotides) under uncultured bacterium. RNAcentral's name for it is "partial 16S ribosomal RNA". It matches the Rfam family "Bacterial small subunit ribosomal RNA", at positions 28 to 507 of the family's 1533-position model. The record is from RNAcentral.
GACGAACGCUGGCGGCGUGCUUAACACAUGCAAGUCGAACGAAGAGCGAUGGAAGCUUGCUUCUAUCAAUCUUAGUGGCGAACGGGUGAGUAACGCGUAAUCAACCUGCCCUUCAGUGGGGGACAACAGUUGGAAACGACUGCUAAUACCGCAUACGAUCUAAUCUCGGCAUCGAGGAUGGAUGAAAGGUGGCCUCUACAUGUAAGCUAUCACUGAAGGAGGGGAUUGCGUCUGAUUAGCUAGUUGGAGGGGUAACGGCCCACCAAGGCGAUGAUCAGUAGCCGGUCUGAGAGGAUGAACGGCCACAUUGGGACUGAGACACGGCCCAGACUCCUACGGGAGGCAGCAGUGGGGAAUCUUCCGCAAUGGACGAAAGUCUGACGGAGCAACGCCGCGUGAGUGAUGACGGCCUUCGGGUUGUAAAGCUCUGUUAAUCGGGACGAAAGGCCUUCUUGCGAAUAGUGAGAAGGAUUGACGGUACCGGAAUAGAAAGCCACGGCUAACUACGUG